This 472-nucleotide ribosomal RNA is filed under the name uncultured bacterium. RNAcentral's name for it is "bacterial SSU rRNA". It matches the Rfam family "Bacterial small subunit ribosomal RNA", at positions 355 to 825 of the family's 1533-position model. The record is from RNAcentral.
UGGGGAAUAUUGGACAAUGGGCGAAAGCCUGAUCCAGCCAUGCCGCGUGUGUGAAGAAGGUCUUCGGAUUGUAAAGCACUUUAAGUUGGGAGGAAGGGCAGUUACCUAAUACGUGAUUGUUUUGACGUUACCGACAGAAUAAGCACCGGCUAACUCUGUGCCAGCAGCCGCGGUAAUACAGAGGGUGCAAGCGUUAAUCGGAAUUACUGGGCGUAAAGCGCGCGUAGGUGGUUUGUUAAGUUGGAUGUGAAAUCCCCGGGCUCAACCUGGGAACUGCAUUCAAAACUGACUGACUAGAGUAUGGUAGAGGGUGGUGGAAUUUCCUGUGUAGCGGUGAAAUGCGUAGAUAUAGGAAGGAACACCAGUGGCGAAGGCGACCACCUGGACUGAUACUGACACUGAGGUGCGAAAGCGUGGGGAGCAAACAGGAUUAGAUACCCAAGUAGUCCCUGAGCGGGCUGGCAAGGCGCAU